UUAUGUUUAAAAAAGCAGCAACAAAUGAACAAAAUAAUUUCUAUAGUGGCAGUCUUUGCAGCAGUUUUGCAAAUAAAAUGUGAACUAAACGGAAUUAAUCCAGCUGGGAAUAAAGUUUUAUAUGGUUGUAAUCAGUCAAAAUGCUAUGCUUAUUGUAGUUUCAUACCUGCUUAUAAUAAAAAUGCAAACAUCAAUACGAUUGAUAAAACUUGGUGGUGUUAUACAAACAAAAA
This is a long non-coding RNA of Hydra vulgaris (swiftwater hydra), 233 nucleotides long. RefSeq lists it as uncharacterized. The record is from RefSeq and is a predicted model, not a curated record. Lineage: Eukaryota; Metazoa; Cnidaria; Hydrozoa; Anthoathecata; Hydridae.